Triticum dicoccoides is the source of this 1955-nucleotide long non-coding RNA. RefSeq lists it as uncharacterized. NCBI's taxonomy places the organism in Eukaryota, Viridiplantae, Streptophyta, Magnoliopsida, Poales, Poaceae. The record is from RefSeq and is a predicted model, not a curated record. The transcript is spliced from 8 exons.
CAAUCCACUCCGCGUCUUCCGCAACCAAUCACCCAAUCCCUUCCUCGCCUCAGUCCCGUGCCAGCCGCCGCCCAAACCCUAGCCCCCGUUUCCCUCUAUCCCCACAGUAACCGCACCAAACCCUAGCCCCCCAUCCACAACCACCCGCUCCUUCUCACAGCCGCCGCACCAUUCCCCCCUUCCACCCCCUCCUCCUUCCCAGAUCCCCACCACGGCGCCGACCUGCAGGCAAAGGGCAACGAAGAGUGGCAGACGAGGACAACGAGGGAGAGAAAGAAGGGAGAAAAAAAGGAGGCCGGUGGCGAGGCCCAGCGACUAGCGCCUCUCCGCCUCAAGCCCUCGCAUCACCGCCACCAGAUAAAGGGCGAAGGCGGCGGCGCUCGAGCAGAUGAGAGGGAGUGAGAGGUAGGUGCAGUAAGGCGACGGAUGGGAGAGGGGCGAGGGCGAGCUCCAGCGCGAGCGCGCGGACCCAUCACCCACGCCAGCGAGGUCCUCGGCCCCGAGCUACGCCUCUACAACCGCGAAGGUGACUGCUGCGACCACGCUAGGUUUUGUUCAGUGCGCACACACACUGUGCCGUCUCCAAGUGCCAGUUGAACUUACUGUCGGGCUUUAUUGCCCUCCUCUGAUUUGGUGUUGUGGGAGAAAGAAGAAGAGCAGGCAUGUUCUCUGUUUCUACAUCCAGCGUCCACAGGUCUAGAUCGACGGGUCUAAACUCUUGAAUACAGAAAGAAUAAGCUACUAGCAUUCCUAAUGUGCAAGUAAACCUACUAGGAUUACGCCUGCAAAAAAAGUUCAUGAAAUAUGUUGAAGUAUGGCCUUGAAAGGCAAGUUGGAUGGUUGGAGAUGCUCAAAAGAUGUAACAAAGAGAGAAGAUAAGAGGGGGGGAGAGAAGGAGAAGAGGGAGUGCCCGAUUCGAUCUGCAAGAGAGAGAGAGAAGAUAAGAGGGAGAGAGAGAAGGAAGGAGAGGAGGGAGAACUCUGUUGCCGCCGCGUGCCGUACUUCUGGAUAGAGCACUGCCUGACCAAGGGUUAAGAGUAGAAGGUAAAAACCCUAGCCACAAUGCUCCCGUGCGGGUUGCAUCCCCGCAUCUCCCGUUUCAUUAUUUCACCAUCGCUGCCUCUUCUCCUCUUCGUUGCUCUACUUCUUCCCCUGAUUCCUCUUUUUCGUUUUUUCUCUUUGUGGCGCCGCCGAGGAUGAGUGGAGAGGCUGCUGAAGCAGGCACUGGUGCGCUGCUGGCGAAGCGGUGGUAAAUGGUGUCGUCGAUGUUGUCCUUGGCAGAAGUUAUCCCCAUUGGCUUGCGGAUAUGCUCAUGCUGGGUUGUUCUUGUUUAUUUUCUCUAUCCAACAUCAUUGCAGUUGCUGACCAUAUGAUUGGUAGCCUUGGACAGAAGAGGGCCAGCAACAAACAGAAGCAACCACAGUCCUGUCCAGAACAUGCAGGGAUCAUCUUUGGUGGCAUCCGAUGCUGGCAGGCCACGGGGUUAGAGCAGAGGAAGCUAACAUGGUGUUCGAAAUUCAGAUGGUCAUUGUGAUCCACCAGAUGUUGCGCCUCAUGUCACCCCGAGCCUCAAGGGCUUGUUAGCAUCAUAAAGGCCUCUCAGUCUUUAACCCUGACUAUAAAAAUCCAUUGAUGGAAGCGGGGGAGGGCUGAGAUGAACAUCCGGCUCCUUGGGUCUAAGCCAUCAAGAUGGUAGAGACGAUGUUUCCAUGUCAUCUACUCCAGCAGCUGGACAAGGCAUAUAAAAACCAUGGAUCCUUUGCUCCCCAGGCCACAAAAUGAUCACAAUGUCUGCGACCUCCUCCUAGAUGUAUUAAUCUCAAUCUCAUGUUUGGUUUUCUUCCCUUUUCUCUACUAAUAAUGUAAUUUCUUUUACUAAGAUAAUACCACGUUUGUUGUAAUGCCUUAUUUGAUGUAAGAUCCCUUUUCUACUUUGAAUGAAUUUACCGCAUAUA